UACGGAGGGUGCAAACGUUGCUCGGAAUUAUUGGGCGUAAAGCGCACGUAGGUGGUCUGUUUAGUCGGGUGUGAAAGCCCUGGGCUCAACCCAGGAAGUGCACUCGAUACUGGCAGGCUUGAGUAUGGAAGAGGGUCGCGGAAUUCCCGGUGUAGAGGUGAAAUUCGUAGAUAUCGGGAGGAACACCAGUGGCGAAGGCGGCGACCUGGGCCAAUACUGACACUGAGGUGCGAAAGCGUGGGGAGCAAACAGG
RNAcentral lists this ribosomal RNA (253 nucleotides) under uncultured bacterium. RNAcentral's name for it is "partial 16S ribosomal RNA". It matches the Rfam family "Bacterial small subunit ribosomal RNA", at positions 524 to 776 of the family's 1533-position model. The record is from RNAcentral.